Molecule: ribosomal RNA, 403 nt
Filed under: uncultured bacterium
Lineage: Bacteria
Description: bacterial SSU rRNA
Rfam family: Bacterial small subunit ribosomal RNA
Source: RNAcentral
UGGGGAAUCUUGGACAAUGGGCGCAAGCCUGAUCCAGCCAUGCCGCGUGAGUGAAGAAGGCCUUAGGGUUGUAAAACUCUUUCGCCGGUGAAGAUAAUGACGGUAACCGGAGAAGAAGCCCCGGCUAACUUCGUGCCAGCAGCCGCGGUAAUACGAAGGGGGCUAGCGUUGUUCGGAAUUACUGGGCGUAAAGCGCACGUAGGCGGAUUUGUAAGUAGGGGGUGAAAUCCCCGGGCUCAACCCGGGAACUGCCUUCUAGACUGCAAGUCUCGAGGUCAGGAGAGGCAAGCGGAAUUCCGAGUGUAGAGGUGAAAUUCGUAGAUAUUCGGAGGAACACCAGUGGCGAAGGCGGCUUGCUGGACUGAUACUGACGCUGAGGUGCGAAAGCGUGGGGAGCAAACAG